RNAcentral lists this unclassified non-coding RNA (348 nucleotides) under soil metagenome. RNAcentral describes it as "partial contains 5.8S ribosomal RNA, internal transcribed spacer 2, and large subunit ribosomal RNA". The stretch from base 1 to 120 matches the Rfam family "5.8S ribosomal RNA", at positions 35 to 154 of the family's 154-position model. The record is from RNAcentral.
GAUGAAGAACGUAGCGAAUUGCGAUAAGUAAUGUGAAUUGCAGAAUUCAGUGAAUCAUCGAAUCUUUGAACGCACAUUGCGCCCGCUGGUAUUCCGGCGGGCAUGCCUGUUCGAGCGUCAUUUCAACCCUCAAGCCCCCGGGUUUGGUGUUGGGGAUCGGCUCUGCCCUUCUGGGCGGUGCCGCCCCCGAAAUACAUUGGCGGUCUCGCUGCAGCCUCCAUUGCGUAGUAGCUAACACCUCGCAACUGGAACGCGGCGCGGCCAUGCCGUAAAACCCCAACUUCUGAAUGUUGACCUCGGAUCAGGUAGGAAUACCCGCUGAACUUAAGCAUAUCAAUAAGCGGAGGA